RNAcentral lists this ribosomal RNA (328 nucleotides) under uncultured archaeon. Its description in RNAcentral is "bacterial SSU rRNA". It matches the Rfam family "Archaeal small subunit ribosomal RNA", at positions 1 to 334 of the family's 1478-position model. The record is from RNAcentral.
UUCCGGUUGAUCCUGCCAGAGGUUACUGCUAUCGAGGUUCGACUAAGCCAUGCGAGUCGAAUGUAGCAAUACAUGGCGUACUGCUCAGUAACACGUGGACAACCUACCCUCCGGUCGGGUAUAAACCCGGGAAACUGGGUAUAAUCCCCGAUAGAGCUCGAAUGCUGGAAUGCAUUGAGCUCGAAAGCUCCGGCGCCGAAGGAUGGGUCUGCGGCCUAUCAGGUAGUAGUGGGUGUAGCGUACCUACUAGCCUACGACGGGUACGGGUUGUGAGAGCAAGAGCCCGGAGAUGGAUUCUGAGACACGAAUCCAGGCCCUACGGGGUGCA